ACCACGUGUAGUAACAAUGGUCAAACUUUUAUGAAUUUAAACUUGUUAUGUCUUCAAAUUGGUAAUUUAUAUACCAUGUUUAUUAAAUGUUAUUAAUUAAGUUCAUUUUCCCUUUCUUAUUCCUUAAAAUGUCAAUGUCCUACCGCCUGGACUACGGUCAUAGGGAAAUACCCCAAAAUGGUACCCCAAGAGGGAAAUUCCAAAC
Molecule: long non-coding RNA, 205 nt
Filed under: Mytilus galloprovincialis (Mediterranean mussel)
Lineage: Eukaryota; Metazoa; Mollusca; Bivalvia; Mytilida; Mytilidae
Source: RNAcentral